Molecule: non-coding RNA, 4659 nt
Organism: Nothobranchius furzeri (turquoise killifish)
Lineage: Eukaryota; Metazoa; Chordata; Actinopteri; Cyprinodontiformes; Nothobranchiidae
Source: RefSeq, a predicted model, not a curated record
GUGAGAAGGGCUGUCUGGGCUGCCAUCCCAUAAUCUUAGAGAGUGAGAUUAUGUUACAGCAGCGUGUUAAAUUACCAUGAUCUGUCUGGCUUUCUCAUUUAUUUAUUAUAUCUGUUCAUAUUGGCCCCUUGCUCCUAAUGUUUCCAAUUGAUUUUGGCCUCUGUUCUCUGCUUCCUUACAUCUUGCCUUCAUCCUUUGAUGUAGCUCCUUCCUGUUGUCAUUUCAUUAGUUGACUGUAGUUUGUUUCCAUCACCCAUGUUUUUUUUCUUAUGUCUUUGACUUAUAACAUGUAGAUUGACUCACAGCUUUCUUUCCUCAUAUGAAUAAAGAGGGGUGGACUGAAUGUUUACUGUUGUGUAUUUAACCUUUAGAUUGUUUGAACACAGAUGUUUAAACUGAGUCACAGUUUAGCUGUGGUACAUUUAUUUUGAUGGCCAUCUGAGUAAAGUGAUUUUUAUGACAUGGUAAAUUAAUUUUGGACUCAGUUUAUUUUCUUCUUUUUUUCUUUAUGUCAGUAACUAUGCACACAGAAAGCAAAGAAGCCAGACAAGAAGUGUGGAUUUACAAUAAGACAAGUAAUGAACAAACCGUGAUGUGAGCUUUAGGUCAACAUAUGUCCAAGUUCCUUCAUUUUAACCUAUGUUAGAAUUUAAAACCACAUUUACCUUGUUGUUGUUGAAUAUAGGCAGUUUGGGUGUCUAGUAGCAUACCAAAAGUCUGUUGUCUCUGACCUGCUCUCCUGUGUAGAUUAGUAACGUUGUAAUGGCUGCUCUCGUUUGGUUUAACACGUCAUAAAGACACUCUUACAUCUGCAUGGUCCAACCUGCUUCAGCGCCAGCUUUAUAUAUAAACAUUGGUCAGACAAUGCUAGCCCAAGCAAAUGCUAAUGCUAACCUUGGGCUACUGCUAAUGUUAGCCUGAGCUACUGCUGUUGGAUGAUAGGAAAACACGAUAUUCAGACUUGUGUACCUUUUCAGUGGUGUAGAGGUAGUCCCAGCCGAGGGACCGAGAGAUUUGGGUUCAGAUCUGGUCAGGUCAUACCAAAGACUUAAAAAAUAUGACCCAACGCCUCCCUGCUUGACACUCAGCUUUAAAGAGCAAGUAACGUCUAAAUUAACUUUUUUUUGCUGAUGAACUGUAUAAAUGAGUGUCUAAUAGUGCUUUAAAUGUGUGUAUUCAUUAUUUUAGCAUUUUGGUGCAUUUUCUUUAAAAAUUAAAAAUUCUGCCUAAAUACCACAGUAUAGCACCACCUUCAGCUUAAAACAUAGAAUUUGACUCAUUUUGAAUAAAUUUUAGCCAAUGGCUAAAGAGUAAGAUACUACGUAAACCAGUAGAGUACUACGUAGCAGCUCUGUGUCAAAGUUAUAAAAGCAACAAGCAUCUCGGCCACACCUUGUGGCGAGUUGGGAGUAUGAUUUGCAAGCGAGUGUAGGAGGUUAGCCGUAGUUCAGCAUUAGCAUAUAGCGUUAGCAUAUCCUAGUCUUUAGCAUAGCUUUUAGUGUUAUAAAUACUUAUUUAGUGUUAGCUUGGCUGUUGGAUAUUGUAGUUUAGUUAGUGUUUGGCUGUUAGUGUAAUUAGGAAAGUAGUUCAGGUUUAGUGCUCCAUAUCGUGUUAGUAUGGUGAGAUGGUGUAGUGUAGUAUGGUUGCGGUGGAUCUGUGGGCAUUUUAUCCGCGAUUCUGCACGCCUCCGUUUGAAGAGGGAGGCUGCCCACCGUGGCUCUUCCGUGAUUUAGAUGCAGCCCACCGACUCUGCUCCCCCACCAUGGCGGGCUACAGUCUGAGGUGAGUCAGCUAAAUAAAGUUUUAACAUCUUCUAAAGACAAUUCCCUACCUAAAUGCAAAGUCCGAGAGACGUGGUUCACUUCAUUUAGCUAGUCAGUCGGUUAUUCUGCAACAGUGUCUCUAACUAACGCAGCACUAGUUGACAGACAGCAUUACAGUGUGAAAUCCAGCUUGUGACCCGGUUCUGUAAGGAACUCCGUUCAGGAGGUCGCAUUUCAGGCUCUCCACAUCAUAUGUGACUGACUUUUACGUUAUAACAACGAUCACACACUAGGAAUGUUAUAAAGCACCUAUAUAGGGCAGUAUCUUUUGUAUAUUAUCUGACUUUAUAAACUCCCAACAACAAUGUGCUUCUAUUUGUUUUUUCAGGCUAAAUCUACCCAAGACACUGGCUGUCAGACUGAUUUAGCUGCAAGAAUGCACUUGUCCAGGCAGACAUGAAGCCUUACCGGCGUAGCAAAGCCAGCCAGAAUGGAGUUCACAGCCGCAGUGUGUCUGGUGACACGGGGACCAUGACGGAAAUUCAUCUUCCAGAAAGUCCCAGAGCAGCGUCCACACCCCUGAAAAGACCAAGAUGUGAGGUGUCUGCUGUUGAUUCCAGCUUCCACCUCAGUGACAGUGCAAGCUCAGUGAACUGGUCAAGGUAAAAAAAUUAAAACAUUUCUGAAUUUUUAAGAUAUUAACAAUUAAAUUAGUAUGUGAUUACAUCAUGACAUCAUGAAGGAGGCUACUGAUUCUGCCCCUGUGACGCUUGGUGGUGACGUGUGAGCUGAUUCACCUGGUAAAUAACUUUUACAUUAAAUAUUUUGUUUUUGCUAUCAAAAGUAAAUUAACUAAUAACCUGCAUUAUUGCAGGACACUCAGCAAAAUAUGGACUCUACACCAUGAGGAAGGCACACGUUAAUACUUAUAAGAGCACAUAAGCCUGGCUGAUCACCUGAUAACUCCUGUCAUCUGGUUAUGACAGCAUGAGGAUGUCCUCACACACCUGUAACCUAUCAGCUCAUCUGGCAGAAUAGAGAGAGAAGAGACAACACCACAUCUCCUGUUCCUGGAAAGCCUUCAGCCUUCCUUCGAUGACUGAGAACCUCCAUCAGCUCUGUCUCCUGUCUGCCCACAAUUAUUAUAAUAAAUAUUGUGUUUGACAAGUUUUUUGUGCUGCCAAAUAUCUCAUUUUGAUUCCAGUUUUGAUAUUUUAAUGGAUAUUUAUAAAUUACAUUAAUUGAAUUAUCACAUUGUUGCAUGUUUAACCAGCUCUAUUGUGAUGAAUUAAACUAGCACCACACUGUUAAAAGCUCGUUUUAAUUUCAAGCAUGUUUAAGUAUUUAUGGACAUGAACAAAAAUAGGAAAUAUAUCAAUUGAGAUUUAUUUAAUUAAUAUAACAAAUAAGGGGGAAAGAGUCAUUGAAAGGCACAUUCUUCUGGAAGCUCCUGAUCCUGACGACACCAGACCAGCUGCAGACACCAGAGGACCUAGAACCGAGAGAGCAGCUGUUGUUAGUAAAUAAAGAAAUCAGGGCAGUUUUAGUGGGCUGAACACAUUACAGAAUAAUUUUCUCAUGGGGUAUUUUCAUAACUUUCUAUGCAGCAGAUUGUAACUUGAGCCCAAGGCUCCUGGAGACCUGCUAUCCAGCACGUUUCAGUGGUUUUCCUGCUUUAACAGGUUGGAUUAGCUGUUAAGCAGCUCAACUAUUUGUUGCUGAUUAAAAUCAGGUGUGUUGAAGCAGAUAAACCUCUAAAACAUGCUGAAUACUAGCUCCAGGGCCGUGGAGACAAACCCUGCAGCUAAUCCAAUGCUAUGGCUAACGGCUACUUACCAUUCAGAGCUGGUUCUGUUGGGUCAGUUCCGGUAGUUUCAGGCAACUCACAAGCUCAAAACAAUAAGGCUCAGGUCCGCUUGUCUCCUCCAAAUAGACUUGGUCCCUUUCUUCUCGAGUGUCUGGGUAAGGAGGGGGAGAAACGUCCUCCACUUCUAAUGACUGCUCAGAGUGAAGGGAGCUAGCAUCGUCUAGUUAGCCGUUGUCUUCGUCACUGCCGCGGCUCCGCCCUCUCGGUCCUCCAGGCAACGCCUACUAAUGUUGCAUUUUUUAAAAUUGAUACGUGGGUGGAGUAAGACUCUGAGUGGGAGUUACAACUUCUUUAAGGAGUUGAAUUGAAGGGUUAAACCACCAAAUAGUUCCCAAACGCAGUCACAGCUGCAGAUCACCAUUCCUUAUUGGGAUGGGUCAAAGGUGGAAAUGUAGUUUCACCAGUGUGUGAUGAUGGCUAAUGGGACUUUAACCCCACCGUGGUGUCCAGGGUUUAAUAACAUAUGAAGAUAAUCCAGAAUAUAAUGUAACAGUUGUAAUGUGCUGGUUGAAGUAGUUGAAGUUUUGUAUUAUGAUUAGGGCUGAAACGGCAAACAUGCUUUCUCGACAAUCCUUGUUAUUGUGUGAGAUAAAAAGUGUAGAAAUUAAAACGGACGUGUUAUGAUAGAGAAAUAGCUGGCGAGCCAUGUUUGUGCAUGCGGUAUGAGCGGUUCUGGUGCUGUUUGGGCCGCAGCCACUCGCAGCGCUUCUUAAACAGUUAUCCUCCCAGUUUUUGUCUUACUGUGAAGUAAAGUUGAAGUGCUGAAGUUUUGAAAACUAAUUUGGAAUAAAACUUGAAGAAUAACUGGCAAGUGUUUGCUCAUUUUAAGAGGUAUUUCAUAUUUUAUAACAUGCUAUUUGAUAUAAUGGUUUACAAACACAAAAGGGUCAUUUAUUAGAGUACUCGAUUAAUCGAUAAAAGAUUUGAUAGAGUACUCGAUUAAAGAAAUAUUUGAUAGCUGCAACCCUAAUUAUGAUGCCAACUUAGAAGAUAAAAGCUGAUUUGGUCCUCACAAAAAAAAACAAUAAA